UCCUAGUUAACCUAGGCAGUCUCAUUAGAGUUCCCACCUUAAGUGUUGGCAACUAAUGAUAAGGGUUGCGCUCGUUGCGGGACUUAACCCAACACCUCACGGCACGAGCUGACGACAGCCAUGCAGCACCUAUAUAGAGACCCUUGCGGGAGAUCCUCUUUCAAGGACUGUCCUCUAUACUUCGAGCCUGGGUAAGGUUCUGCGCGUUGCAUCGAAUUAAACCACAUGCUCCACUGCUUGUGCGGGCCCCCGUCAAUUUUUUUGAGUUUCACCCUUGCGAGCGUACUCCUCAGGCGGUAUACUUAUCGCGUUAGCUACGACACAAUCGGGGUUGAGACCAAUUACAUCAAGUAUACAUCGUUUACGGCAAGGACUAC
This 377-nucleotide unclassified non-coding RNA is filed under the name uncultured Simkaniaceae bacterium. RNAcentral describes it as "contains 16S-23S intergenic spacer region". The record is from RNAcentral. Lineage: Bacteria; Pseudomonadati; Chlamydiota; Chlamydiia; Parachlamydiales; Simkaniaceae.